RNAcentral lists this long non-coding RNA (7508 nucleotides) under Solanum tuberosum (potato). RNAcentral's name for it is "long non-coding RNA (STUB_LNC006528)". Lineage: Eukaryota; Viridiplantae; Streptophyta; Magnoliopsida; Solanales; Solanaceae. The record is from RNAcentral.
GCUGAUGAUCCUUUGCUGCCGGUCUGCCGGAUACUGCACACAGACAGGAACAACCAAGAUACAAUGUCAUAUGUGUGAGGGGACGGCCUUUUUACAUUCAAGUAUGUUAGAUAUUUGCCUUUUAUGUGUGAAUUAAUUGUGGAAUUUUACUUUUGAGUUGCAAUUUGUUAAAUCCAUGUCUUCUUAGGUGGGGAGGAAAGUCAUAUAUACCGUGUCAAAUUUGAGAUUUGAGGGAAGCUAACUGGCCUUCUUCGUGAUAUCUGUAUUUCCGAUUUUAUUUGCUUUGUUGGUUUGUUUCAUGAUCUGUUUUUCUGGCCGCUAAACAGAAAUUAGGAUUUAAUAGAACAGGUAAGUAAAAUAGAGGUGAUAUGUCUAGAGACUGGAAACAAAUCCUCUUCUGUUUUGUGGUCUGUCAGAUUCUUCUGGUAGUCCGAAGAUCCCCGAAUUCCUUAAAAUUGGACCAUGGUUCGCAGAAUGCAAGAUGUAAUCUUUGAACUUGUAUAUGGCUACUGUAUACAGAAUUGCAUAAUCAUAGAAAGAUUGUGCUUGGAGGAUUAAAGAUACACCCUAAAAAGGGAAGUUUAAUUGCACGUCAAUCUGUUGAUAAUAUGAAAUGGGUCUUUUUCUUGAACUAGUAUAUGGUGUUAUGUUAAACGUGUUACACAUAUAUUGCCCUUUCAUGCUACAACAACAACAUACUCAGUGAAAUCCCACUAAGUAGGGUCUACGAAGGAUAGAGUAUACACAGACCUUACCACUACCUCGUGGAAGUAGAGAGGUUGUUUCCGAAAGACCCUCGGCUCAAGUGCGUCAAAUUCAAGUAAAAGAAGAAGACAAUGAAGAAAACAUAGCAGUUAAAUAAGAAAAGCAGUGUAUAGUCGAUAAAAAAGCAAUAACAACAACAAAAUAGUGGGGGUCAUGUACCCUUUCAUGCUACAUGAGCAAAAAUACCUUGAACUGCAAUUUAUUUCAUUAGAAUCAUUGCAUGUUCUUGCUAUUAUUGUGAAAAAGACUGAGUAGCUAUAAUAGGUUACAGGAAAAAUACUAUUUUGUAUUUCUGGGAUGCGCUACUUAGGAAUAUGUUCGUGUUUCGGAGGCCAGUUUAUGCUGAAAAGACACCUUUUUAGAUUUCAUAAACCAUACCAACUUGAAGUGUUUUAUCUGGUGGAAUUUGAAGUGCAGAAAUAGCUGCCCUGCUAUUCUUCUGAAGAAACCUGUACAAGUACUCUAUAGUGAAGCGAGCAAACCAACCUUUAUUUGCUUUGAGAAUGGUUCUUCCUAACACAAAAACGGGUCCUCUUUCAGCAGCUGCAUCUAUUUUUCGUUUUUCACUAGUAGACUCGGCUUGGUCUUGGAGUUUUGUGAUCAUUAAAGUAACAAAGUCAUCUCCUUCCAUGCUUUGAGAAUCCUUAUAUCCAAACUGAAUCAAACACCGAUAAAAUCCUUCAACUCCCGUCUUCCCCACAUUGUAACGUUCCUCCACCAGGACGGUUUUGAUGGGAAGAGUUCUAACAGUGACAAUUACCAGGAUUUCUCUUACAGAAUUUGUGUGCUGAAUGUAAUGACAGAUUAUGGGUGGAAUGCCAUUUCUGAGAUCAGUGAAAAAGAAGCAAAUUCCUGGUGCUCGGUAUGUACUAUAGCUUGAUAGCAUUUGGUCUAGAUCAGGUAAACUCAUCUUUCUAUCUGCUUCAUAUUCUUUUUUCUUACUCCUUCCAUAUGUCCAAGAUAGCAUGAUAGUCAAGAAGAAAGCAGAAAUAGCAAAUGGCACCCAUCCUCCUUGUGGUAUUUUAUUGAGCAAAGAUGUCAUGAAACAACCUUCAAUUAUUAUAUAAGGCAAGAAAAAUGCCAAAAUGAGAAUGAUAUUUGUCUUCCAUAUGAUUAGCAUCACUAAUGCUGUCAAGAAUGUUGUUAUGAUCAGGGGCGGACCCACGUGGAGGUCAGGGGGUUCACCCGAACCCCCUCAUCGAAAAAUUACACUGUAUAUAUAAGGUCUAUUUCUGAUUUUAUGAGUACAUAUAUUAAAAUGAACCCCCUCAAUUUUUAAGAGAGGCAUGGCUCAGUGGUUAAGGGGUUCAACUCUAACCAAGAGGGUCUGGGUUCGAUUCCCACUUGCAACAUUUUUCCAUUUGUUUUUUUUUCUUUGAAAGGUUGAAUGGGCUCUUGCUUUGGGCUCAAAUCCAAUUCCAUUUCAUUGUUUUUAGAAGGCUGUAUGGGCUCUGGUUUCGGGCUCAAAUCCCAACUCAAUGAAAUGUCUCACUAUUUGAUUAUUAUUAAAUUUGAAAUUGAUUUACAAAAAUAUUAUAUAAAAAUAAAUUAAAUUAAAGUUAAUCGAAUGAAGAAAUUUAAAAGUCGUGUAUAAUCUUUUAAUAAAAUCUAAUUAAUUGAUUCCCGCCCCUCCCCCCCCUCUUAAAUUUAUAGUAUUUCUUUCUUAUUUUUUUUCAGUUUGAUUUUAAAAAGAUGAAAACUAAACUAAACUUAUUUGUUCUAUUCAUCAUUUGAUGAAUUAUUAUUAAAUUUGAAAUUGAUUUACAAAAAUAUUAUAUAAAAAUAAAUUAAAUUAAAGUUAAUCGAAUGAAGAAAUUUAAAAGUCGUGUAUAAUCUUUUAAUAAAAUCUAAUUAAUUGAUUCCCGCCCCUCCCCCCCCUCUUAAAUUUAUAGUAUUUCUUUCUUAUUUUUUUUCAGUUUGAUUUUAAAAAGAUGAAAACUAAACUAAACUUAUUUGNNNNNNNNNNNNNNNNNNNNNNNNNNNNNNNNNNNNNNNNNNNNNNNNNNNNNNNNNNNNNNNNNNNNNNNNNNNNNNNNNNNNNNNNNNNNNNNNNNNNUAAACUUAUUGGAUUCAGAUUACUAGUUUCCUCCUAUAUCUCGCUCAGUUUUUUAUCUUGUAAUUUUCACAUGUUUACUUCUUUAUAUUUCGAACCCCCUCCACAGAAAUCCUGGAUCCGCCACAGUUGACACCCCUUCGUUAGAAAACUAUAUUGUAUAGAUAGGUAACUUAUUUAUUUUAUAUAUAUGUGUUAUGAUAUUGAUAUCCUUUGAAUUCUUCAUGAAUUUACUUAUUUAUAUUUUGACAUUUCUUUAUGAAAAUUCUGAUUCGAACACUAAAAAUAACUAUCAAUAUUAAAUGACUGAUGACGACGAUCAUGCAUGAUAAAAGGAUGAUCAAGUGAACAACUCUAUCGACAAUUGCAUUGGGUAUCAAAUAAGGAUAAUAUACUUAAUAAUAUUGAUAUUUUUCUUUCUUUAUAGAAUAGAAUAAUGAGUUGGCACCUUUUUGAAGUUUCUUUUUAAGCACGUCGCCAAAAGUCAAAAUUCUUUUGGAUAUCCCUUUCUAUGGACGUCAUUUAGAUUUUGUCAUCUAUUAAUGAUUUUGUGCCAAUUAUUUAUAAGAUCGCAUAAGAUAUAAACGUUCUUUUUAACUUGACCUCAAUUGAUAUUUAUCUAUGUUUUUUAAUUUUGAAUGUAUAUAAGUAGACACUUGAAUUUGUACAAAAUUGAACAAAUAGACACAUUCAUCUUACGUGGCAUCCUACAAGUCAACUGUGUGUCCUACAUAUAUAUUAUGUCACGUAGGAUACAUAUAUAUAUCUAGGAAAAGUUAAUCCACAUAUACAUAUAAAAACAUAUAUUACAUCGUAUAUACGUAGAAAUUAGUAAUAUAACAAAAUAAUUACUAGUGAUGACAGAUUUGGAUUAUUUAAUAAUUAAUUUAAUUAUAUUUGAAUUAUUUAAUAAUUAUAUUUUUUUUGCUUUAGUGCAAAUAAGAAGCGUGCAAUUUUUGUAGUAGUACGUACCUAGGAUAUGAUCAUGACCCAGAUGACCACCACCCCUGUAGUUGAAAAAGAAAAGUUAGUUCCAUUUCUCAGCGAAGUACGCUUUAUUUGGACUUCCAGUUGUGGUUUAACUUAACAACAACAACAACAGAUCUAGUGUGAUCCCACACUUGUCUGGAGAGGUGGGUGGUAUGCAGACUGUACCCUACCUUUGCGAGGUAGAGAGGUUGCUUACGAUAAGACCCUCUCGGCUCAAGAAAAGCGUUUUUCAAACAUUUUUAUACUAUUAAUUUUACUCGUUUGGAAACCGACUCUCUACCUCCACGAGGUAGCGUAAGGUCUGUGUACACUCUACCCUCCCUAGACCUCACCUGUGUGAUUACACUAGGUAUGUUAUUGUUGUUGUUGAAUUAAUAAUAAUUUUACUGAUUAUAACAGGUUAUUUACCAUUGUUACAGAUUAUUAACCCAUUCUUGCUAUAAAAAGUUGCAUAUAAUUGGUUAUUUUAAGUAGCAUGAUAGUAUUAGAUUUUUAAGUUGUCGGUGUACAAAAAGAAAUCUGAGUGAUGCUUACCAUAGGCAUUUGCUAGUUCAACACCUCCUUUGAAACCAAGAACGAGAGUGACACAAAGAAUCAUGAGGAUGUAGUUUACCUCUGGGGAAUAGAUUUGUCCUUCAUGCUUGGAUGAAGUAUGUAUAAUGUUUACUCGAGGGAAGCAUCCAAGAGCAAGUGAUUGCUUUACAAUGGAAAAAGUUGCUGAUAUCAUGGACUGGCUAGCAACCACGGCAGCUAGAGUUGAGAUUACAAACAUUGGCCAGUAAACAGGUUUUGGUAGGGAACUGUAAUAAGCAUUGUUGAUAUUCUCUGGAUACCUCACUAGAUAAGCUGUUUCUCCGGCAUAGCUGAGAACUAGGGAUGGAUAAACUACAAAAGAAAAUGCCAACUGCAAGACUCAUUGUACAGAAAUGCCAUCAAUCAGAUUAACUUUUCUAAUGGUAGAUUAGAGUUCUUUGUUCCUUACCUGAAUUGCUCUUUUAUUGAAAUGACCUAAAUCAGCAAACAUGGCUUCCGCUCCUGCAUGACAGUUUAAAACAUGUCGGAAGUGAACUAAUUUUCUCCUAUUUCAUAUGCUUUUCUUUUAUCUUUUUUUUCCCCUCAAAAUUAGUUGUAAAGUUAAACCUGUAAUGCUUAGAAAUACUGCACCGAGAAGAUUCCAAGCAGUCUUUCCAUUUCUUGAAACAAAUUUCACUAUGUAGUGUGGAGAAAUGGCUUUAAGAACGGAUGGAUAGUACUCCAAAAUAUUGUAGAUACCGACUGAAACAUUGGUAGCAAACCACAAUAACAUUACGGGUGUGAAGCAGAAGCUAACUUUGCUUGUUCCACAGCGUUGAAAAGUGAAAAGUGCGAUUAACAUAAUCACAGACAUGAAAACCACAUGAUCUGCAGCCAAUAGAACUUUCAUUAAACCUCACGUUUUGGUGAGUAAAUGGAAGCAGAUCUGAACUAGCAAUAGAACUGUCUUUUGAAAAUUAUUUUGACUUUACCUUGUGUUAUCUUGGAAGAGAGAGAUUGAAUUCCUUGCAGGGCUGAGAGAACUGAUGUAACAAGUGUAUGGACAUGAGGCAACGUCGAAAGGAAAUAUAACUUGGAGAAAACAAAGGAAGAAUGUUACCGCAAGUAGCAGGAGUGAGAGCUCCAUCACCAAUGACCAUACAAGUUCCAAGUAAAACAACAAAAGUAAGAACAUUUUGAGCUGUGGAACUUUUCUCCAGGAACUUCUUAGUUUUUGAACGCCUAGAACUUCCACUCUCUUGGCUGUAAUAAGCCAUGCUCUCAUCAGAUUCCAUCCUAACGUUGUGGAUACUAAGUUUGCUUUGGAAAUUGAUAUGGCGACAGAGAUAUGAAUAGAGAGCAAAAGUACCGCCUUCUCCAUGAUCAUUAGCAUGGAGGACGAUGAAGACAUAUUUGACUAACACAAGCAACGUUAGAGUCCAAAAGAUUAGGCUGAAUGUCCCAAGUAAAUCAUCUUCAGUGAGAUUUGUCAAGCGAGUAGAGGAAAAUACAUUGACAGGAGAAGUGGCAAGGUCCCCAUAUACAACUCCAAGAGAUUGGUAAGCCAACAACAAGGUCUGCAUGGGUGGAUAUUCCUGAGAAAAAUACUCAAAAUCUCAAUAUCCUAUGAAGUGACUUAGAAGUUUCAAGGCAGUAACAAAAAAAAGUGUGAAGUUAUCAGAUUUUAUCGAAACUGGUAGUAGCACUAGCACACAUCGAGGGUAAAAUGAGAACAGGUUGCUUGUGAUGAUUUCAUCAUGUCCUAUGUCAACCUCCAGAUGCACCGGUCUGCAGGAACCAUGAUGACUUAAGGUGUUCAAAAGGAAGAGGUAGUUAUAACUUAAUCACAUGAAGGAAGUUAUCCCGAAAGACCUACACUCUCUUGAAAUCUAUGCAAACCUAGCAAAAGAUCGGGCACAAUGAAAGAAAAGGAUCUAUGUGGAUGAUACCAGUUAGUUGGUUUAAGCUUUAAUUAUGCUAAUAUGUUUACUUUCGAUCCCAAUGUUUGUUGGGAGUUUUUAGGUCUUGUUUGAGAUUUCAUGCGUGGGAAAUGCAGACAGCUUCUAGUGCUACAAAAACUAAUUCUUUAUUAUAUUUGAACUUAGACAAAGCUUAAUUGAGUGACAUGGACAAUGAGAAUUCAUAUAGCCGAGGAUUCACAUAGACGGUCUUAAAUAGAGGGACAGUGGAUAUUUCUUGGAAUAUUGAAGAUGAGAAAAAGUAAAGCUUACCUUAGCUUUGGUUAAGGGAGACUGGUAUGUCUGCAUAACUGUCAUGUAUGUUUCCAUAGCAGGUACUGGUUCUGGAACAACUCUCCUGCUGUUGUUACAAAGGUCAAUACGGUUACUAUCUUCAAGAUUGCUUCUACUUUCAAUAUCAUAGUUCUUUAUGCUGGAAUUGUUGCUUUUAACAUCUUCCAUGUUUUAAAUGCAGGACACUUCCAAUAUUCUAGUUAAGAAGUUGCCGUACAUUGUGUCAUGCUUAUAUAGCUUCAAAAAAGCCUCAAGGACUAUCGAUUUGCAAACAGGGAUAUCGAUUUGGUUGAUCCUAAGAAUAAAACAAAAGAUAUAAGUUAGUGCUGCAAAUUCUAAAAGCCACAAGUUGCUGGAGAGGGAGCAGGUAAAGGAACACAUCAUCAUAUAUAUAUUUUAGCAGUAAUUCCACCAAUUUGCAUACAAAUUUAUUUCAUCAUCCUGUUGGAGCACUUAUCGAUUCGCAAACAGGGAUAUGAAGAUAAAUUAUUGGUACAUUUUCUUGUUGACAUAUUAUAUUUUAUACCAAGGAGUGACUACACACUCUCACAAGUGACAUAUAACCAGAAAUUUUUAAAAAUCUGCCACUGUUGCUUUGUUGGAUGAACCUUAUCUAGUCUAGUCUAGUCUAGUUAAAUAAAUCAAGCUUAAAUUUUUGCAGUAAGUUGAUGACAAGUGAAAACUAGUAAAUCCUCUGAUUAAAAAGGUAAGCUUGAUUAAUGAACAAAAGCUCAUAUGCAAUUUUGCUGGCUUAUGAUUCUUUUGAUUAUGAAUUUUUUGUUUUAUUAUAGGUAUAUAUAUCAGUGUUGACACAUCUUGACCUAAGCUGGUCCAAUGUAAUGGUUAAGGUGUUGCACAACUUUCUUAAACUCGUGUGUUCAGUCCUAGCUAGCGACAUCAUUAUAUUUGCCUUUUUUUUACAUCUUUAAUAAAAA